This 468-nucleotide ribosomal RNA is filed under the name uncultured bacterium. RNAcentral describes it as "partial 16S ribosomal RNA". It matches the Rfam family "Bacterial small subunit ribosomal RNA", at positions 28 to 507 of the family's 1533-position model. The record is from RNAcentral.
GACGAACGCUGGCGGCGUGCUUAACACAUGCAAGUCGAACGGAAAGGCCCUGCUUUUGUGGGGCUCUCGAGUGGCGAAGGGGGGAGUAACACGUGAGUAACCUGCCCUUGUCUUUGGGAUAACUUCAGGAAACUCGGGCUCUUAUCCGAUAUAAUCUCCUGCUCCGCGUGGGGCGUUGGAAAGUUUCGGCGGUGGUGGCUGGUCUCGCUGCUUAUGCGCUACUUUGUGGGGUUGGUGAUGACAAAGCCUUCGACGGGUAGCCGGCCUGAGAGGGUGACCGGCGACAUUGGGACUGAGGGACGGACCAGAAUCCUACGGGAGGCAGAAGUGGGGAAUAUUGCACAAUGGGCGGAAGCCUGAUGCAGCAACGCCGCGUGCGGGAUGCCGGCCUACGGGUUGUGAACCGCUUUCGACUGUGACGAAGCGUGAGUGACGGUAAUGGGUAAAGAAGCACCGGCUAACUACGUG